This 1439-nucleotide ribosomal RNA is filed under the name uncultured organism. RNAcentral describes it as "16S ribosomal RNA". It matches the Rfam family "Bacterial small subunit ribosomal RNA". The record is from RNAcentral.
CAGGCUUAACACAUGCAAGUCGAGGGGCAUCAGGAAGAAAGCUUGCUUUCUUUGCUGGCGACCGGCGCACGGGUGAGUAACACGUAUCCAACCUGCCCUUUACUCGGGGAUAGCCUUUCGAAAGAAAGAUUAAUACCCGAUAGUAUAAUGAUUCCGCAUGGUUUCAUUAUUAAAGGAUUCCGGUAAAGGAUGGGGAUGCGUUCCAUUAGGUUGUUGGUGAGGUAACGGCCCACCAAGCCUUCGAUGGAUAGGGGUUCUGAGAGGAAGGUCCCCCACAUUGGAACUGAGACACGGUCCAAACUCCUACGGGAGGCAGCAGUGAGGAAUAUUGGUCAAUGGGCGCUAGCCUGAACCAGCCAAGUAGCGUGAAGGAUGAAGGCUCUAUGGGUCGUAAACUUCUUUUAUAUAAGAAUAAAGUGCAGUAUGUAUACUGUUUUGUAUGUAUUAUAUGAAUAAGGAUCGGCUAACUCCGUGCCAGCAGCCGCGGUAAUACGGAGGAUCCGAGCGUUAUCCGGAUUUAUUGGGUUUAAAGGGAGCGUAGGUGGACUGGUAAGUCAGUUGUGAAAGUUUGCGGCUCAACCGUAAAAUUGCAGUUGAUACUGUCAGUCUUGAGUACAGUAGAGGUGGGCGGAAUUCGUGGUGUAGCGGUGAAAUGCUUAGAUAUCACGAAGAACUCCGAUUGCGAAGGCAGCUCACUGGACUGCAACUGACACUGAUGCUCGAAAGUGUGGGUAUCAAACAGGAUUAGAUACCCUGGUAGUCCACACAGUAAACGAUGAAUACUCGCUGUUUGCGAUAUACAGUAAGCGGCCAAGCGAAAGCAUUAAGUAUUCCACCUGGGGAGUACGCCGGCAACGGUGAAACUCAAAGGAAUUGACGGGGGCCCGCACAAGCGGAGGAACAUGUGGUUUAAUUCGAUGAUACGCGAGGAACCUUACCCGGGCUUAAAUUGCAGUGGAAUGAUGUGGAAACAUGUCAGUGAGCAAUCACCGCUGUGAAGGUGCUGCAUGGUUGUCGUCAGCUCGUGCCGUGAGGUGUCGGCUUAAGUGCCAUAACGAGCGCAACCCUUAUCUUUAGUUACUAACAGGUCAUGCUGAGGACUCUGGAGAGACUGCCGUCGUAAGAUGUGAGGAAGGUGGGGAUGACGUCAAAUCAGCACGGCCCUUACGUCCGGGGCUACACACGUGUUACAAUGGGGGGUACAGAAGGCAGCUAGCGGGUGACCGUAUGCUAAUCCCAAAAUCCUCUCUCAGUUCGGAUCGAAGUCUGCAACCCGACUUCGUGAAGCUGGAUUCGCUAGUAAUCGCGCAUCAGCCACGGCGCGGUGAAUACGUUCCCGGGCCUUGUACACACCGCCCGUCAAGCCAUGGGAGCCGGGGGUACCUGAAGUACGUAACCGCAAGGAUCGUCCUAGGGUAAAACUGGUGACUGGGGCUAAG